This is an RNA transcript of Brassica rapa (field mustard), 1848 nucleotides long. It is a transcript of the gene named K(+) efflux antiporter 1, chloroplastic-like, with no coding region annotated. The record is from RefSeq and is a predicted model, not a curated record. Lineage: Eukaryota; Viridiplantae; Streptophyta; Magnoliopsida; Brassicales; Brassicaceae.
AUUAAGCUCCACAAGCGCCGUGUGUUAUGGGACACGUGUCAUUGUACGCGUCUUUCUCUUUCUCCCUCGACGACUCUGUUUCCACUUUCCCUCGAUGACUCCGCAAGUCUCUUUCUCUCCCUCGACGACUCCGCGUUUGUCGAUUGAAUCUUCGAGGUAUCCGCGUCGUUCUCCGUUAAAGUCGACGGCUCCACUUCUCUCUUUCUCUCUCUCGGCGGCUCCACGUUUCGCGAUUCUCUCCGUCGAUGACUCCGCCUUGUUGUGGUGAAAUCUCGAGGACUCCGCUUCUCUCUUUCUCUCCUCGAUGAAUCCCCGUUUCUGUCGUGUUCUUACCCCGUCGAUGAAGAGCCAGCCUCUGUCUCGUGAUCUUCCCCCGACGAUGAAGACUCCGCCUCUGUUCUCUCACUCGGUGGAUCUCCUCAGCUGACUGCGAGGAAAUCAAAUCGAUAGAUGGAAUUAUCAACAGACAUGAAGGUUGGUUAAAGAAGACAACCGCAAACAGAGUUUUCCUUGCAAGUAGAAUCAGAUAUUGCUCCUUAUCGUGGUCUUCUGCUGGGUCUUUUCUUCAUGACGGUUGGCAUGUCUAUUGAUCCGAAACUUCUUCUCUCUAACUUCCCCGUCGUAAUUGGGACUUUGGGACUCUUGAUAUUGGGCAAGACUAUAUUAGUCGUUGUCAUGGGAAAGUUGUUCGGAAUUUCAGUCAUAUCUGCAAUUAGAGCCGGUCUUCUUCUGGCCCCUGGUGGAGAGUUUGCAUUUGUUGCUUUUGGAGAAGCUGUCAAUCAGGGUAUAAUGUCUCCUCAGCUAUCUUCGUUGCUGUUUCUUGUGGUGGGAAUCUCAAUGGCUAUCACACCUUGGUUAGCUGCUGGUGGCCAGUUAAUUGCAUCCCGGUUUGAGUUGCAUGAUGUUAGAAGUUUAUUGCCGGUUGAAAGUGAGACGGAUGAUUUGCAGGAUCACAUAAUUAUUUGCGGAUUGGACGAGUUGGGCAGGUUUAUACAUUAUCUGAACUUCUUCAGCUUAUGCUCUUUGGACGAGAACAUUUGUGUAGAUAGUCUGUGUCACAGUGUAUGUGGGAGUUUCCAACUUCUUGUCCAUUGUAUAUUUGUUACUUGCAGUGAAAGUGAGGUAGGAAUCUUGAUGAUACUUGUACAGAAUUUUAACACUGUCACUCAAUAAUGACGGAUGAUUUGCAGGAUCACAUAAUUAUUUGCGGAUUUGGACGAGUUGGUCAGGUUUAGAAUGACCUGAACUUCUACAGUUUAUGCUCUUUAGACGAGAACAUCUGUGUAGUCUACACAGUGUAGAUGGUCUUCGCCAUUGAAUAUUUUGUUACUUGUAGAUAAUUGCUCAGCUUCUCUCAGAAAGACUUAUCCCAUUCGUUGCCCUCGAUGUCAGCAGGUGAAGUUACCAACCUCAGAAAUAGCAAACACGAUCAACGAGUUCAGGAACCGUCACCUAUCUGAACUAACGGAGCUAUGUGAAGCAAGCAGAAGCUCGCUGGGGUAUGGUUUUUCGAGGACGACGACGACUAAGCCUAAAACUCAAACGUCGGAUGCAACUGAGGAGAACCAGAUCAUCGAAGGAAGUGGUUCACUCGCCAUCUGAUGUGCCUCUUUCUUCUAAGAACAAACUUUUAAUAUUCUAGUGUUGGCCAUUGAACACAGAUGUCACAUUCAUAUAAGCUACCUGGCUGAUGAUGAUGGUCCUUUUGGAGGGAGUUUUAUUCAAUUAAUUGUUCUCCUUUAAUCAAAAAAAUAUAUAUAUUAGGACACAGUCUCGGUAAUAAAUACAAAAACAUUUGUGUAAGAGUGUGUGUGUGGGGUAUUUACUCCUCUUCUUCUUUGCCCCUUU